UUUUCUCUCUCUACGAAGAAAUCGUCGAUUUUGCUCAUUUUCGUCGCCGCGCUUGUUCUUCGCUGUUUGCGAGCGUCGCAGAGCUUAUGUGGACGCGUGAGAGAGUAUUUUGGAAGGCUUUUCGCAGCCCUGAACCAGUAGCUCACUGGUGGGAAGUCUGAGAAGCAGGUUUGCGAAUCUUAUUAAGCUAUCUUAGUGACCUGGGAGGCUGGUUUAGAAGGUACUCUAACCUAAGCAAGAGUGCGACUGAGCCUUGGAUCAUCGUUCGUUGACUUGUGAGAGCUCUUGGAGACGUCUCUUGAGCAGCAUUGGGGCUUCGUUAAGCCGUUGUGGGACUUCUUGUGGAUAAUCGGAGCCUAGUACUAGAGCCUGUUACAGGAGAGGCUAGGGAUCGUG
Long non-coding RNA from Ananas comosus (pineapple), 396 nucleotides. RefSeq lists it as uncharacterized. NCBI's taxonomy places the organism in Eukaryota, Viridiplantae, Streptophyta, Magnoliopsida, Poales, Bromeliaceae. The record is from RefSeq and is a predicted model, not a curated record. The transcript has 5 exons.